AUGUUCUACUCUACUACAUUUGUAACUUAUCUGUUAGCACCUAAUAUUUGGGAAUCUUUAUUUUCUGAUCACUCUGAUGUACAUGGAUUUAAUGAAAAUGGAACCACGCUGAAGUACGUAAUAAAUCUCUCACCUGUUGCACUGUGUGCUUCCAGGUUCCCUAGGAACAUUAGUGUUCAUAACCUCAUUGUAGGGGCAGCAGGCAGUGUGCACACGUGGAUUGCUUCACCUAAUGCUGAGGCCAAACUGAGACUGCAAAGAAUAUUUUCCAGUUUGUACCUCUGUCAUUUACUGCUACACAGAGGACUGCCUACUGAGCCAAGCCUGAAAAUGGCUGAUUCCUGGGCUGUUCAGGAGGGUGUCUGCUUCCCAGGGCUUUUUCUGAGGCAGCUCAUCUCCGUCAGUGUGCCCACCUCUCACAAAAGCCCCUGUUUGCUUCUUACAGUAAAACUGCGUCCAUAGCAAACUGAAGAAUGCAGCAGCUGUGUGCAACACACACAUGCUUUUAAGUGUUUCAGAAAUAACUGUUUCAUGUGUGCAUGCAUGUGCCUGUGCAGAACCUUCCAGGAAACUUAAAAGCAAGUUCUUUUUGGUAGCCUAGCUCUUCUCUGAUGAGAUAUGCCAGGAAAUUAGAGGAGCUGCCCCUCCCAACUAUUCUUAGUGUAUUACUUGUAGCAUAGGUAUGGAGUAUGGACCCAGAUCACAACUUCACCGUUUUUAAGGUGUGGGCAUCAGAUUUCCAUCAUCUUAAUGCAUUUAUAUAUGGCCACAUGAUUUACAUGCUACCCAUAAACACCCAUAAACAUCCCAUAAGCAUGUAAUAACAGCACAAAGACAUACAGACACGUGGUUCCUGUGAAGGGUCUGUUUGGCCCACAACAAGGAAAUGCAUCUCUGCAGUAAGAUCUCUCUGACCAAGACAGAUAUUAUUUGAUGUAAGAGAAAAUGGACAAAGGAAAAUACUCUGCUAUUUCAGGGUGUUCAGAGAAUGAGCUGUGCCCUAUCCCUCUAUCUUUUUAUUCAGAAGCUUUGUCUACCCUGAAGAAGGCAUCACCGCAUGUCAUCUGUGCUUUUAGCAGCUUCAUUUCAGCAGCAGUAGAAGAGGUGAAAUUGAAAUCAGAAGGUCUUAAUUUCACAGGGAAGGAAAUUUGUUCUGAGACGAAAGGUUUUUCUCUCUUGAGUCACCAAAAUAUUAUUACCCUUGAUUCAAUUUGGAAGCUCUUUAGGAUGCUGUAGUCAUAUGGCUGGCUGGUGGUCUGGGUAACCUCAUCACUGCUGUGCUCAUGAACAACGUGCUGCAUGCUGGUCACACUGCACUGUUUGACUCAUGCCUGUGAAGGUCAAACACAAGGGCCUCAUCUGGGGGCUGUGAUCGGCAGGGGCAUUGAGCUGGUAGCCAUGUAUAGGAAUAAAUCAGUCCUUUCAGCAGGCGUGGGUGGAGGA
This 1443-nucleotide long non-coding RNA is filed under the name Phasianus colchicus (ring-necked pheasant). RNAcentral describes it as "lncRNA (ENSPCLG00000007261.1)". Lineage: Eukaryota; Metazoa; Chordata; Aves; Galliformes; Phasianidae. The record is from RNAcentral.